GUCUGCCUCACCUCCUCUCUGGCACCACCUCUCUGCCUUUCAUUCUCUGUCUUGUUUCUGUUUCUUUCCCUCUCUUUUCUUUAUUUUCCUCUCUCUCUCUGAUUGCUUUAUAGUCUUAUUUAUCACAUCCUCCCUUUCUUUACUCUCCAUCCUGUGCAAAGAAUUUUUCCCCUGCUGCCUCCAGACAAAGUUGGUGGAGAAGAAUGAAUUUUUCAUUUGUUUUUCCAUAUUCUGCUCCUGUACCCAAGAAAGUGGAACUCAGGUCCCUCUGUAUGUGUCUGGAGAUAUGACACACCUCGAUCUCUCAGUUUUGCUUUGUCACUUCCCAUAAAAGUAAAACCCGUUCAGAAAGUCAGGCGCCAGGCCCGGGGAAUCAGAACGGCAAGCCCAUUGGCACAUCCAGCGAACCUCGCCCUGAUGGCAGCCACAGGAGAUGGGGAGCUUCCUUUGCCUUCUGUCCCACCGGAAGGGUGGAGUCAAUUUCCAAAAGGACAAAGAUGGAAGCUGCAAGGUCUCUUGACACCUAGGCCCCGAAGUUGCACAGCAUCACGUCUGCCACAUUCUGUCGGUCAAAGCAAGUCACAAAGCCGGCUGAGAUGCAAAAGGUGAGGAAACAGAUGCCACCUCUUAACGAGAGAAGCUGAAAAUAUUGUGGCCAUGUUUUACCGUCUACCACACACACAAUCCACAAUUCAGCAAUUCUAUUUCUAAAUGUGUAGCCUAGACCCAGAGAGACUCUUAUACAAACUGACAGGAACAAGAAUGUUCAUUAUAGCAUCCUGUGUUACGGCAAAAUCGAAAACAAAAAUGCCCACCACUGGGAGAAUAUAUAGAUGAAAAAUGGCAUGUUCAUGCACUGGAAAACUAUACAGCAAUUGAUAAAGGAACUAGAUCUCUAUUUGCAACUCGGAUGAAUCAAAGAUUAUGCUGAUUGGGAAAAACAAGCUGUAGAACGAAAUGUAUGAAAAAUUAGCCAGGCAUGGUGGUGCAUUCCUGUAAUCCCAGCUACUUGGGAGGCUGAGACGGGAGAAUCGCUUGAACCCAGCAGGUAGCGGUUGCAGUGAGCCAAGAUUGAGCCACUGCACUCCAGCCUGGGUGACAGAGGAAGACUCUGUCUCAAAAAAAAAAAAAAAAAAGAAAAGAAGAAGAAGAAGAAGAAGAAUUAAAUGUAUAGUAUGAUAUAAUUUUAAGGAAAAAAUUUCAAAUACAAAGACAAUACUGUAUAUUAUUUUCAUAUACAUACGCAUGUAAAAGGCUAGGAGGUAAUUGAAGUGUUCAGCAUUAAUGAGAUGAGAUUCUGUACAAUGGGGAGAAGUGGAAUGGGCAUGGAGUGAAGCCGGACUGGACUAAUGAGGGCAUGUCAUCUCUAACAGAGGAGAAAGAUGAGUAAAUAGAUUCGUCCAGUUUGUGCUCUUGAGAUCCGCACAUACAGAACAAUUUCAAAAUAAGAAGACAAACUUGAGAGGGAGCCACGAAGGAAGAAGAUAAAGAGGGAUAACUGACCGAGGGAGAUUUGCAGAAGGUUGAAGGAGGGUUAGCAACACAUGUUGCGGUAGGAGCCUCGUUCCUGUGGGAGAGCCAACACAUACAGACAAUUCAUACUCAGUGCUUUCCUUUUAAAAAAGUGUUGCUUAUGGCUGGGCACAGUGGCUCAUGCCUGUAAUCCCAGCACUUUGGGAGACUAAGGUAGGGUGGAUCACUUGAGGCCAGGAGUUCAAGACCAGCCUGGCCAACAUGGUGAAACCCUGUCUCUACUAAAAAUGCAAAAAUAAAAAUAAAAAUUAGCCAGACAUGGUGGUACAUGCCUGCAAUCCCAGCUACUUGGGAGGCUGAGGCAGGAAGAUCACUUGAACUGGGG
This 1858-nucleotide long non-coding RNA is filed under the name Homo sapiens (human). RNAcentral describes it as "HSALNT0215362". The record is from RNAcentral. Lineage: Eukaryota; Metazoa; Chordata; Mammalia; Primates; Hominidae.